This 459-nucleotide ribosomal RNA is filed under the name uncultured Brochothrix sp. RNAcentral's name for it is "bacterial SSU rRNA". It matches the Rfam family "Bacterial small subunit ribosomal RNA", at positions 341 to 792 of the family's 1533-position model. Lineage: Bacteria; Bacillati; Bacillota; Bacilli; Caryophanales; Listeriaceae. The record is from RNAcentral.
ACGGGAGGCAGCAGUAGGGAAUCUUCGGCAAUGGACGAAAGUCUGACCGAGCAACGCCGCGUGAGCGAAGAAGGCCUUCGGGUCGUAAAGCUCUGUUGUUAGAGAAGAACAUGGGUGAGAGUAACUGUUCACCCCUUGACGGUAUCUAACCAGAAAGCCACGGCUAACUACGUGCCAGCAGCCGCGGUAAUACGUAGGUGGCAAGCGUUGUCCGGAAUUAUUGGGCGUAAAGCGCGCGCAGGCGGUCUCUUAAGUCUGAUGUGAAAGCCCCCGGCUCAACCGGGGAGGGUCAUUGGAAACUGGGAGACUUGAGGACAGAAGAGGAGAGUGGAAUUCCAAGUGUAGCGGUGAAAUGCGUAGAUAUUUGGAGGAACACCAGUGGCGAAGGCGGCUCUCUGGUCUGUUACUGACGCUGAGGCGCGAAAGCGUGGGGAGCAAACAGGAUUAGAUACCCUGGUA